This 477-nucleotide ribosomal RNA is filed under the name uncultured bacterium. Its description in RNAcentral is "partial 16S ribosomal RNA". It matches the Rfam family "Bacterial small subunit ribosomal RNA", at positions 28 to 507 of the family's 1533-position model. The record is from RNAcentral.
GAUUAACGCUGGCGGCGUGCAUAACACAUGCAAGUCGAACGAUGAAACUUUUUUGAUUUCUUCGGAAUGAUUAAAAGUGGAUUAGUGGCGGACGGGUGAGUAACGCGUGAGUAACCUGCCUUAGAGAAGGGGAUAGCCUUUGGAAACGAAGAAUAAUACCCUAUGAAACCAUCACCUCGCAUGAGGAAUUGGUCAAAGAUUUAUCGCUCUAAGAUGGACUUGCGUCUGAUUAGUUAGUUGGUGGGGUAACGGCCCACCAAGACAGCGAUCAGUAGCCGGCUUGAGAGAGUGUACGGCCACAUUGGGACUGAGACACGGCCCAGACUCCUACGGGAGGCAGCAGUGGGGAAUUUUGCACAAUGGGGGAAACCCUGAUGCAGCGACGCCGCGUGAUUUAGAAGGCCUUCGGGUUGUAAAAAUCUUUUCUAUGGGAAGAAAAUGACAGUACCAUAGGAAUAAGGACCGGCUAAUUACGUG